UAAAGCCACUUAAUAUAAAGUGGGACCUAUUUUUUUUUUCAUUGCCUUACAAAUCACAUCGUACAAAUUCAUACGUGAUAACCAUCUCGUAAAAUAUGAAUCAACGUGAUACCGAUUUUCAUGUGAGGACGAACAUUUUUCACCAAAGCAGAUUUCGCAACACGAGUUGGACAUGCAAAUUCGCAGCGUUUGAAAGUGUUUUUUUGUGUGAGUGGAGCUUCAUCGCUACAUUGUUAACACAAUGGACAAUGGAAAAAAAUUGCUAAUGUGACCACACCUUACAUGCGGAUUCCGUCUGGGUCUGUGCAUUAUUCAGUGGUAUUUUAGCGUUAAGCGUACUACAAGUGUGCAUAUCUUGUCUCUCGGCCAUCUGUUUCAGGACUACCUUCUCGGUUUUGCACUAAAGCAAAAGCACACUUUUGUUUUGCUUGUAACUAGCAUUUUCUUUUACACCCACUCUCAUUUUUCCAUUCGCUUAAAAAAAAAUCCCGGUUCAUUCGUCAUUAUAUUUACACUCCUUAUGAUGAAACAUAAUCAGACUGAAAGAGAUGCAUACAUUCUAGAUAAUUUUAGAAUAGCAUUGAAAAAAUGUUUAGUUAGUAGAUUCUUGAGGGGAUAAACUUGAAACAAUGUGAAUAAAAAUGAUCUUUUUAUGUGAAAAUUAUUCAAGCGGUAAGUCAUCAGAGAUGCGAUACUGAUGCGUGCAGUUACGUGGGGAUAUUCGCUAGAGAAAACAAACGAAUAGGUGAUUUUCUGUGAAAAUAAAUCUCUCGACAAGAGCCAAACGCGGCACUUUGAUAAGGGAAUAUGUUGUAUUUUUGUACGGGGUAUUGUGCGACCCUUGUUCUUUUGUUCAUUUUUAGUGAGGCGAAUAUUUUUACAGUAUCUUUUGCAUUUGUGCUUGUUCUUGAUUUGAGUGGAAAAUUGUUUUCUUGUGCUUAUUUUACAAUGUUAAACAUACAAGUAGUAGAUGUUUGUAAAAACAUAUUGUAGUCAUUGCUGCUGGGUGUCAGUUCAUAUGAUGAUAAUGAUGAUGAUGAUGAUGAUGAUUCCACAUUUUAAGUAUAAAAUGACAUUGAGUGAGCUAAUGCCAAGAGUUUUAGGUCUACGACAAGCGUCAAGGAGCACAAGCGACGUGUAAGACGUGAAAAGUAAAGCUGUAUCUGUGUGUUUGUAUUGUGUUCACCGAUCACUGUAAGAUUAGAGUCACCUAUAAGGUCUGUACUGGUCCUCGUGUGUGCAGUGUGAGUCAAUGUGGUCGAUUUAUUCAGUGUUAAAUACAUGCACCGAGAGGUGCUGUCACAGACACCCUGUAAAUGAUUUGAAACAUCUUCUGCCCUUUGUAUUUGUGUCUUUAUGCAAAGUCACCUUGAUAUGAACUGUGCUCUUAGGCAAUCGGGGAUGCCUUCACUUUACCCACAGAACAACAGAAAUGUCGAUUUCAGGAUAAACACCCUACUUUCUCCGUCUUUAUGGACACUGUGUUUAGACAGGAAGUAGCCAUGUCACUCAGUGCUCCCAUAUUUGUGCCAUUGUUACACAAAUUAAUACUCGGACUGAGGAUCCACGUGGGACCAAACGGCCAUUUCGCUCCAUUUGCCUUGUUCUAGUGACAAGACCGUGUUCUUGGUGUCGAAAUGGUUUUGCAUUCGUCAUGUUUUACUUUUUUGUAUUGUCUACCUCAGCACCAGUUCUUUGUGUAACUUUUAAAAGGUGCCCAAUUAUUGUUACUUUGUUUUGUGCUUAAAUUUUGUAUUAUAGCCUUGUAGGGUUUUUGUUCUUCUUCUUUAUUUCAGCAUAGAGAUGCUGUUUUGAAGCACUGUGUGGUGUUUUUGAUGCUGCAGAUAGAGGUGUAGAUUCAUUUCCCCUUCUCUAUGUGGGUUCAGACACAUCUCUGUAUAUGUCAGUGUUCGAAAAUAAACUUGUAAACAGAAAUGCCA
Long non-coding RNA from Pimephales promelas (fathead minnow), 1940 nucleotides. RefSeq lists it as uncharacterized. The record is from RefSeq and is a predicted model, not a curated record. NCBI's taxonomy places the organism in Eukaryota, Metazoa, Chordata, Actinopteri, Cypriniformes, Leuciscidae.